UACAGAGGGUGCAAACGUUGUUCGGAAUUACUGGGCGUAAAGCGUGUGUAGGCGGCUAGGUAAGUCGGAUGUGAAAGCCCCAGGCUCAACCUGGGAAGUGCACUCGAUACUGCUUAGCUCGAGUACUGGAGAGGUUGGUGGAAUUCUCGGUGUAGAGGUGAAAUUCGUAGAUAUCGAGAGGAACACCGGUGGCGAAGGCGGCCAACUGGACAGAUACUGACGCUGAGACACGAAAGCGUGGGGAGCAAACAGG
RNAcentral lists this ribosomal RNA (253 nucleotides) under uncultured bacterium. RNAcentral's name for it is "partial 16S ribosomal RNA". It matches the Rfam family "Bacterial small subunit ribosomal RNA", at positions 524 to 776 of the family's 1533-position model. The record is from RNAcentral.